UACGUAGGGGGCAAGCGUUAUCCGGAUUUACUGGGUGUAAAGGGAGCGUAGACGGCUGUGCAAGUCUGAAGUGAAAGGCAAGGGCUCAACCUUUGGACUGCUUUGGAAACUGUGCAGCUAGAGUGUCGGAGAGGCAAGUGGAAUUCCUAGUGUAGCGGUGAAAUGCGUAGAUAUUAGGAGGAACACCAGUGGCGAAGGCGGAUUGCUGGACAGUAACUGACGCUGAGGCGCGAAAGCGUGGGGAGCAAACAGG
RNAcentral lists this ribosomal RNA (253 nucleotides) under uncultured bacterium. RNAcentral's name for it is "partial 16S ribosomal RNA". It matches the Rfam family "Bacterial small subunit ribosomal RNA", at positions 524 to 776 of the family's 1533-position model. The record is from RNAcentral.